This is a non-coding RNA of Oryctolagus cuniculus (rabbit), 341 nucleotides long. NCBI's taxonomy places the organism in Eukaryota, Metazoa, Chordata, Mammalia, Lagomorpha, Leporidae. The record is from RefSeq and is a predicted model, not a curated record.
GCAGCUGGAGAUGCAGCAGGUGGGGCGGCAGCAGGAGGGCUGGCAGCACUGGGGCCUGCAGCAGCUGGAGAUGCAGCAGCUGGGGCGGCAGCAGGUGGUCCUGCAGCAGGUGGUCUGAAGGCAGCUGGGCUGGCAGCAGGUCUCCUGCUCAGAGCAGACAGAGCCACAGGAGCUGACCAUGGUGUCGGAGGGUGGAGGUUCUGGUUGGGUUUCCAAGAAGGUGGUUGUUUGGAGUUUGAUCUCCCCUUGCUCCCUCUUGCUUUUUAUACCCUGUUGCCGGCUACUGUGACCAUGUGAAGGAUCUUGUUUAUCCAGUAGAAAAUCAGUUAGUUUUAGUCAAU